Molecule: ribosomal RNA, 465 nt
Filed under: uncultured bacterium
Lineage: Bacteria
Description: partial 16S ribosomal RNA
Rfam family: Bacterial small subunit ribosomal RNA
Source: RNAcentral
GACGAACGCUGGCGGCGUGCUUAACACAUGCAAGUCGAACGGAAAGGCCCCUUUGGGGGUACUCGAGUGGCGCACGGGUGAGUAACACGUGCGUAACCUGCCCUUGACUUCGGGAUAACUUCAGGAAACUGGGGCUAAUACCGGAUAGGAAUCCUUGCUGCAUGGUGGGGGUUGGAAAGCUUCGGCGGUUUUGGAUGGACUCGCGGCUUAUCAGCUUGUUGGUGGGGUAGUGGCUUACCAAGGCUUUGACGGGUAGCCGGCCUGAGAGGGCGACCGGCCACAGUGGGACUGAGAUACGGCCCAGACUCCUACGGGAGGCAGCAGUGGGGAAUGUUGCACAAUGGGCGGAAGCCUGAUGCAGCAACGCCGCGUGCGGGAUGACGGCCUUGGGGUUGUAAACCGCUUGCAGCAGGGGCCAAGCUUGUGGUGACGGUACCUGCAGAAGAAGCACCGGCUAACUACGUG